AAUAUAGGGGAUUUUGAGUUUUUGCUUGUAACGUUUGACUACUCGUCUUAUUUAAUUUUUUAAAAAAAUAUUAUUUAUUUUAUUUGUGACUUACUUUAUUAUCCACAGUACUUUAAGCGCAACUUUUCAUUUUUGAUAUUUGCAAAAAAAUUUUGAAUAAGACGAGUGGUCAAACGUUGCAAGCAAAAACUCAAAAGCCCUCAUAUU
Molecule: microRNA precursor, 207 nt
Organism: Oryza sativa Japonica Group (Japanese rice)
Lineage: Eukaryota; Viridiplantae; Streptophyta; Magnoliopsida; Poales; Poaceae
Rfam family: MIR812 microRNA precursor family
Source: Rfam